RNAcentral lists this ribosomal RNA (252 nucleotides) under uncultured bacterium. Its description in RNAcentral is "partial 16S ribosomal RNA". It matches the Rfam family "Bacterial small subunit ribosomal RNA", at positions 524 to 776 of the family's 1533-position model. The record is from RNAcentral.
UACGAAGGGGGCUAGCGUUGCUCGGAAUUACUGGGCGUAAAGGGCCAGUAGGCGGCCAACUAAGUCCGACGUGAAAUCCCCAGGCUUAACCUGGGAACUGCGUCGGAUACUGGAUGGCUUGAAUUCGGGAGAGGGAUGCAGAAUUCCAGGUGUAGCGGUGAAAUGCGUAGAUAUCUGGAGGAAUACCGGUGGCGAAGGCGCAUCCUGGACCGACAUUGACGCUGAACGGCGAAAGCUAGGGGAGCAAACGGG